CCUACGGGAGGCAGCAGUGAGGAAUAUUGGUCAAUGGACGAGAGUCUGAACCAGCCAAGUAGCGUGAAGGAUGACUGCCCUAUGGGUUGUAAACUUCUUUUAUAUGGGAAUAAAAUGCUCCACGUGUGGGACUUUGUAUGUACCUUAUGAAUAAGGAUCGGCUAACUCCGUUCCAGCAGCCGCGGUAAUACGGAGGAUCCGAGCGUUAUCCGGAUUUAUUGGGUUUAAAGGGUGCGUAGGUGGAUUGUUAAGUCAGUUGUGAAAGUUUGCGGCUCAACCGUAAAAUUGCAGUUGAAACUGGCAGUCUUGAGGACAUUAGAGGUAGGCGGAAUUCGUGGUGUAGCGGUGAAAUGCUUAGAUAUCACGAAGAACUCCGAUUGCGAAGGCAGCUCACUGGACUGCAACUGACACUGAGGCUCGAAAGUGUGGGUAUCAAACAGGAUUAGAUACCCUAGUAGUC
Molecule: ribosomal RNA, 460 nt
Filed under: uncultured bacterium
Lineage: Bacteria
Description: partial 16S ribosomal RNA
Rfam family: Bacterial small subunit ribosomal RNA
Source: RNAcentral